Penaeus vannamei (Pacific white shrimp) is the source of this 247-nucleotide non-coding RNA. Lineage: Eukaryota; Metazoa; Arthropoda; Malacostraca; Decapoda; Penaeidae. The record is from RefSeq and is a predicted model, not a curated record.
AGUGGUGGUGGGAGUGACAGUGGGGAACAACGCACUCCGGCACUCUCGCUCGCUCGCACUCCCUCCGUCGGUGUUGGCGCACUCCCCUUUGCCUGGAGUUCCAAUUUUGUGUCGUCGGAAAAGCAUAUAUAUGGGACCAAAGAGAAAUGAAAAAAUAUGAAAACAUAAGAAAUUGUAAGUGAACCAAAGUGCAGUUAAAGAAAGAGAACGAGAUAAGAGAGAGAGACGAACGAAAACGCAAAGAAAA